This 892-nucleotide ribosomal RNA is filed under the name uncultured bacterium. Its description in RNAcentral is "bacterial SSU rRNA". It matches the Rfam family "Bacterial small subunit ribosomal RNA", at positions 505 to 1398 of the family's 1533-position model. The record is from RNAcentral.
GUGCCAGCAGCCGCGGUAAUACGAAGGGACCUAGCGUAGUUCGGAAUUACUGGGCUUAAAGAGUUCGUAGGUGGUUAAAAAAGUUGGUGGUGAAAUCCCAGAGCUUAACUCUGGAACUGCCAUCAAAACUUUUUAGCUAGAGUAUGAUAGAGGAAAGCAGAAUUUCUAGUGUAGAGGUGAAAUUCGUAGAUAUUAGAAAGAAUACCAAUUGCGAAGGCAGCUUUCUGGAUCAUUACUGACGCUGAGGAACGAAAGCAUGGGUAGCGAAGAGGAUUAGAUACCCUCGUAGUCCAUGCCGUAAACGAUGUGUGUUAGACGUUGGAAAUUUAUUUUCAGUGUCGCAGCGAAAGCAUUAAACACACCGCCUGGGGAGUACGACCGCAAGGUUAAAACUCAAAUGAAUUGACGGGGACCCGCACAAGUAGUGGAGCAUGUGGUUUAAUUCGAAGAUACGCGCAGAACCUUACCAACACUUGACAUGUUCGUCGCGACUUUAAGAGAUUAAAGUUUUCGGUUCGGCCGGACGAAACACAGGUGCUGCAUGGCUGUCGUCAGCUCGUGUCGUGAGAUGUUGGGUUAAGUCCCGCAACGAGCGCAACCCUCACUUUUAGUUGCCAUCAUUAAGUUGGGCACUCUGAAAGAACUGCCAGUGAUAAGCUGGAGGAAGGUGGGGAUGACGUCAAGUCCUCAUGGCCCUUACGUGUUGGGCUACACACGUGCUACAAUGGCAUUUACAAUAGGAAGCAAGAUGGCGACGUCAAGCAAAUCCUAAAAAGAUGCCUCAGUUCGGAUUGUACUCUGCAACUCGAGUACAUGAAGCUGGAAUUACUAGUAAUCGCGGAUCAGCGCGCCGCGGUGAAUACGUUCCCGGGUCUUGCACACACCGCCCGUC